Molecule: long non-coding RNA, 245 nt
Filed under: Elaeis guineensis (African oil palm)
Lineage: Eukaryota; Viridiplantae; Streptophyta; Magnoliopsida; Arecales; Arecaceae
Description: long non-coding RNA (EGUI_LNC050484)
Source: RNAcentral
CCUGCUAUCUUAAACAUAGGCUGAACAUCCUUGGAUCUCAAAAUAAUCAGGAUUCAUUUCUUACCAUGCCAUUUCUCAUACGGUGUGGUAUGAACAGGUUUAGAGAGAACUCAAUUUUAUAGAAAUAAAAUAUAUCCUUAAAGAAAUAAAAUAAAUCAAUGAAUUUCAUCAUGGAUUGGACCAUAUCACAUAUAGUCCCAUGACUCUUCUUAUCUCGUUGAGUUGAGAUGUACUAAGAGCAGUCC